CCUACGGGAGGCAGCCGUGGGGAAUAUUGCACAAUGGGGGGAACCCUGAUGCAGCGACGCCGCGUGGGUGAAGGAGUAUUUCGGUAUGUAAAGCCCUAUCAGCAGGGAAGAACAAUGACGGUACCUGACUAAGAAGCACCGGCUAAAUACGUGCCAGCAGCCGCGGUAAUACGUAUGGUGCAAGCGUUAUCCGGAUUUACUGGGUGUAAAGGGAGCGCAGGCGGCGCAUUAAGCCUGGUGUGAAAGUCCGCGGCCCAACCGCGGGACUGCAUUGGGAACUGGCGCGCUGGAGUGCCGGAGGGGUAGGCGGAAUUCCUAGUGUAGCGGUGAAAUGCGUAGAUAUUAGGAGGAACACCAGUGGCGAAGGCGGCCUACUGGACGGUGACUGACGCUGAGGCUCGAAAGCGUGGGGAGCAAACAGGAUUAGAUACCCUUGUAGUC
Molecule: ribosomal RNA, 441 nt
Filed under: uncultured bacterium
Lineage: Bacteria
Description: partial 16S ribosomal RNA
Rfam family: Bacterial small subunit ribosomal RNA
Source: RNAcentral